Molecule: ribosomal RNA, 577 nt
Filed under: uncultured bacterium
Lineage: Bacteria
Description: bacterial SSU rRNA
Rfam family: Bacterial small subunit ribosomal RNA
Source: RNAcentral
CCGGAGCUUGCUCCACCGGAAAAAGAGGAGUGGCGAACGGGUGAGUAACACGUGGGUAACCUGCCCAUCAGAAGGGGAUAACACUUGGAAACAGGUGCUAAUACCGUAUAACAAUCGAAACCGCAUGGUUUUGAUUUGAAAGGCGCUUUCGGGUGUCGCUGAUGGAUGGACCCGCGGUGCAUUAGCUAGUUGGUGAGGUAACGGCUCACCAAGGCGACGAUGCAUAGCCGACCUGAGAGGGUGAUCGGCCACAUUGGGACUGAGACACGGCCCAAACUCCUACGGGAGGCAGCAGUAGGGAAUCUUCGGCAAUGGACGAAAGUCUGACCGAGCAACGCCGCGUGAGUGAAGAAGGUUUUCGGAUCGUAAAACUCUGUUGUUAGAGAAGAACAAGGAUGAGAGUAACUGUUCAUCCCUUGACGGUAUCUAACCAGAAAGCCACGGCUAACUACGUGCCAGCAGCCGCGGUAAUACGUAGGUGGCAAGCGUUGUCCGGAUUUAUGUGGGCGUAAAGCGAGCGCAGGCGGGUUCUUAAGUCUGAUGUGAAAGCCCCCGGCUCAACCGGGGAGGGUCAUUG